GACUGCGAAUCAGGGGGUCGGGGGUUCGAAUCCUCCCC
RNAcentral lists this transfer RNA (38 nucleotides) under Thalassiosira minuscula. RNAcentral's name for it is "partial tRNA". The record is from RNAcentral. Lineage: Eukaryota; Bacillariophyta; Thalassiosirophyceae; Thalassiosirales; Thalassiosiraceae.